CAAGCCACUUCACUUGUCUGCGCCCCAACAAGCUCAUCCGAAGGCCCAGAAGAAAGGAAGAUAAACUCGAGGCUUUUACAGGUGCCUGCAUCCUCCCCUUUCAUCCAGCAACAAUCCCUGGGACCAUGGCCCCCGAACCUUGCUGCAUGCUAGUAUCAGAAUCAACCAGGAACUUUUGAAAAGCCAAGGGCCCAGUCUGCAUACCAGGCCAAUGAAGUCAGAAGAUCCAUUCAGGACAAAGCCCCAGCCAGGUCUAGAGGACAGCCAGGCCUGCAGGAAACAAGAGUGCAGACCCACGAUUGGGGGCACCCCAGGAGCAACGUCAGGA
Long non-coding RNA from Chinchilla lanigera (long-tailed chinchilla), 328 nucleotides. RefSeq lists it as uncharacterized. The record is from RefSeq and is a predicted model, not a curated record. The transcript is spliced from 3 exons. Lineage: Eukaryota; Metazoa; Chordata; Mammalia; Rodentia; Chinchillidae.